This 2422-nucleotide ribosomal RNA is filed under the name Streptococcus pneumoniae. RNAcentral describes it as "bacterial LSU rRNA". It matches the Rfam family "Bacterial large subunit ribosomal RNA". Lineage: Bacteria; Bacillati; Bacillota; Bacilli; Lactobacillales; Streptococcaceae. The record is from RNAcentral.
UUGUUCCCGUAUAAACUAUUUUGGAGGAUUACCCAAGUCCGGCUGAAGGGAACGGUCUUGAAAACCGUCAGGCGUGGAAAAGCGUGCGUGGGCGUUAAUGGGUGAGAGCGUGCCUUUUGUAGAAUGAACCGGCGAGUUACGUUAUGAUGCGAGGUUAAGUUGAAGAGACGGAGCCGUAGGGAAACCGAGUCUGAAUAGGGCGCCUUAGUAUCAUGACGUAGACCCGAAACCAUGUGACCUACCCAUGAGCAGGUUGAAGGUGCGGUAAGACGCACUGGAGGACCGAACCAGGGCACGUUGAAAAGUGCUUGGAUGACUUGUGGGUAGCGGAGAAAUUCCAAACGAACUUGGAGAUAGCUGGUUCUCUCCGAAAUAGCUUUAGGGCUAGCGUCGACAUUAGAGAUUCUUGGAGGUAGAGCACUGUUUGGGUGAGGGGUCCAUCCCGGAUUACCAAUCUCAGAUAAACUCCGAAUGCCAAUGAAUUAUGGUCGGCAGUCAGACUGCGAGUGCUAAGAUCCGUAGUCGAAAGGGAAACAGCCCAGACCACCAGCUAAGGUCCCAAAAUAAUUGUUAAGUGGAAAAGGAUGUGGGGUUGCACAGACAACUAGGAUGUUAGCUUAGAAGCAGCUAUUCAUUCAAAGAGUGCGUAAUAGCUCACUAGUCGAGUGACCCUGCGCCGAAAAUGUACCGGGGCUAAAACAAUUUACCGAAGCUGUGGAUACCUUUAUAGGUAUGGUAGGAGAGCGUUCUAUGUGUGAUGAAGGUAUACCGUGAGGAGUGCUGGAACGCAUAGAAGUGAGAAUGCCGGUAUGAGUAGCGAAAGACAGGUGAGAAUCCUGUCCACCGUAAGACUAAGGUUUCCAGGGGAAGGCUCGUCCGCCCUGGGUUAGUCGGGACCUAAGGAGAGACCGAAAGGUGUAUCCGAUGGACAACAGGUUGAUAUUCCUGUACUAGAGUAUGUAGUGAUGGAGGGACGCAGUAGGCUAACUAAAGCAGACGAUUGGAAGAGUCUGUCUAAGCAGUGAGGUGUGAAUUGAGUCAAAUGCUUAAUUCUAUAACAUUGAGCUGUGAUGGGGAGCGAAGUUUAGUAGCGAAGUUAGUGACGUCACACUGCCAAGAAAAGCUUCUAGCGUUUAAACAUACUCUACCCGUACCGCAAACCGACACAGGUAGUCGAGGCGAGUAGCCUCAGGUGAGCGAGAGAACUCUCGUUAAGGAACUCGGCAAAAUGACCCCGUAACUUCGGGAGAAGGGGUGCUGACUUAAAGUCAGCCGCAGUGAAUAGGCCCAAGCAACUGUUUAUCAAAAACACAGCUCUCUGCUAAAUCGUAAGAUGAUGUAUAGGGGGUGACGCCUGCCCGGUGCUGGAAGGUUAAGAGGAGUGCUUAGCGUAAGCGAAGGUAUGAAUUGAAGCCCCAGUAAACGGCGGCCGUAACUAUAACGGUCCUAAGGUAGCGAAAUUCCUUGUCGGGUAAGUUCCGACCCGCACGAAAGGCGUAAUGAUUUGGGCACUGUCUCAACGAGAGACUCGGUGAAAUUUUAGUACCUGUGAAGAUGCAGGUUACCCGCGACAGGACGGAAAGACCCCAUGGAGCUUUACUGCAGUUUGAUAUUGAGUGUCUGUACCACAUGUACAGGAUAGGUAGGAGUCUAAGAGAUCGGGACGCCAGUUUCGAAGGAGACGCUGUUGGGAUACUACCCUUGUGUUAUGGCCACUCUAACCCAGAUAGGUGAUCCCUAUCGGAGACAGUGUCUGACGGGCAGUUUGACUGGGGCGGUCGCCUCCUAAAAGGUAACGGAGGCGCCCAAAGGUUCCCUCAGAAUGGUUGGAAAUCAUUCGCAGAGUGUAAAGGUAUAAGGGAGCUUGACUGCGAGAGCUACAACUCGAGCAGGGACGAAAGUCGGGCUUAGUGAUCCGGUGGUUCCGUAUGGAAGGGCCAUCGCUCAACGGAUAAAAGCUACCCUGGGGAUAACAGGCUUAUCUCCCCCAAGAGUUCACAUCGACGGGGAGGUUUGGCACCUCGAUGUCGGCUCGUCGCAUCCUGGGGCUGUAGUCGGUCCCAAGGGUUGGGCUGUUCGCCCAUUAAAGCGGCACGCGAGCUGGGUUCAGAACGUCGUGAGACAGUUCGGUCCCUAUCCGUCGCGGGCGUAGGAAAUUUGAGAGGAUCUGCUCCUAGUACGAGAGGACCAGAGUGGACUUACCGCUGGUGUACCAGUUGUCUUGCCAAAGGCAUCGCUGGGUAGCUAUGUAGGGAAGGGAUAAACGCUGAAAGCAUCUAAGUGUGAAACCCACCUCAAGAUGAGAUUUCCCAUGAUUAUAUAUCAGUAAGAGCCCUGAGAGAUGAUCAGGUAGAUAGGUUAGAAGUGGAAGUGUGGCGACACAUGUAGCGGACUAAUACUAAUAGCUCGAGGACUUAUCCAA